RNAcentral lists this ribosomal RNA (490 nucleotides) under uncultured bacterium. RNAcentral's name for it is "partial 16S ribosomal RNA". It matches the Rfam family "Bacterial small subunit ribosomal RNA", at positions 28 to 523 of the family's 1533-position model. The record is from RNAcentral.
GACGAACGCUGGCGGCGUGCUUAACACAUGCAAGUCGAACGGUAAGGCCCUUCGGGGUACACGAGUGGCGAACGGGUGAGUAACACGUGGGUAAUCUGCCCUGCACAUCGGGAUAAGCCUGGGAAACUGGGUCUAAUACCGAAUAGGACCUCCGGAUGCAUGUCUGGAGGUGGAAAGCUUUUGCGGUGUGGGAUGGGCCCGCGGCCUAUCAGCUUGUUGGUGGGGUGAUGGCCUACCAAGGCGACGGCGGGUAGCCGGCCUGAGAGGGUGUCCGGCCACACUGGGACUGAGAUACGGCCCAGACUCCUACGGGAGGCAGCAGUGGGGAAUAUUGCACAAUGGGCGAAAGCCUGAUGCAGCGACGCCGCGUGGGGGAUGACGGCCUUCGGGUUGUAAACCUCUUUCACCAUCGACGAAGGUCUGGGGUUCCUCAGAUUGACGGUAGGUGGAGAAGAAGCACCGGCCAACUACGUGCCAGCCGCCGCCGUAA